Molecule: ribosomal RNA, 624 nt
Filed under: uncultured bacterium
Lineage: Bacteria
Description: bacterial SSU rRNA
Rfam family: Bacterial small subunit ribosomal RNA
Source: RNAcentral
AUUGAACGCUGGCGGCAGGCUUAACACAUGCAAGUCGAGCGGGGAAGGGUAGCUUGCUACCUGACCUAGCGGCGGACGGGUGAGUAAUGCUUAGGAGUCUGCCUAUUAGUGGGGGACAACAUUCCGAAAGGAAUGCUAAUACCGCAUACGCCCUACGGGGGAAAGCAGGGGAUCUUCGGACCUUGCGCUAAUAGAUGAGCCUAAGUCAGAUUAGCUAGUUGGUGGGGUAAAGGCCUACCAAGGCGACGAUCUGUAGCGGGUCUGAGAGGAUGAUCCGCCACACUGGGGCUGAGACACGGCCCAGACUCCUACGGGAGGCAGCAGUGGGGAAUAUUGGACAAUGGGCGAAAGCCUGAUCCAGCCAUGCCGCGUGUGUGAAGAAGGCCUUUUGGUUGUAAAGCACUUUAAGCGAGGAGGAGGCUGCCGAGAUUAAUACUCUUGGAUAGUGGACGUUACUCGCAGAAUAAGCACCGGCUAACUCUGUGCCAGCAGCCGCGGUAAUACAGAGGGUGCGAGCGUUAAUCGGAUUUACUGGGCGUAAAGCGUGCGUAGGCGGCUUUUUAAGUCGGAUGUGAAAUCCCUGAGCUUAGCUUANGAAUUGCAUUCGAUACUGGGAAGCUAGAG